GAGGUUGUGGCUCAGCGGUAGAGCACACGUAUAGCACGUGUGAGGCACUGGGUUCGAUCCUCAGCACCACA
RNAcentral lists this transfer RNA (71 nucleotides) under Marmota monax (woodchuck). RNAcentral's name for it is "tRNA.Ala". It matches the Rfam family "tRNA". From Rfam's summary of the family: Transfer RNA (tRNA) molecules are approximately 80 nucleotides in length. Their secondary structure includes four short double-helical elements and three loops (D, anti-codon, and T loops). Further hydrogen bonds mediate the characteristic L-shaped molecular structure. tRNAs have two regions of fundamental functional importance: the anti-codon, which is responsible for specific mRNA codon recognition, and the 3' end, to which the tRNAs corresponding amino acid is attached (by aminoacyl-tRNA synthetases). tRNAs cope with the degeneracy of the genetic code in two manners: having more than one tRNA (with a specific anti-codon) for a particular amino acid; and 'wobble' base-pairing, i.e. permitting non-standard base-pairing at the 3rd anti-codon position. Lineage: Eukaryota; Metazoa; Chordata; Mammalia; Rodentia; Sciuridae. The record is from RNAcentral.